This is a long non-coding RNA of Camelina sativa (false flax), 647 nucleotides long. RefSeq lists it as uncharacterized. NCBI's taxonomy places the organism in Eukaryota, Viridiplantae, Streptophyta, Magnoliopsida, Brassicales, Brassicaceae. The record is from RefSeq and is a predicted model, not a curated record.
GUUUUUUUUUGUUUCAAUAGGAUGUUUGUGGUGGGAGUAGCUACCAGAGACUAUUCUCUUCCAAGCUUUGUUUAUUUCUAACUUGGAUUUCAGGAUUAAAGGCACAACUGGAGUUGAGAUUGCUUCUGGCCUCAAUUGGUAUUUGAAGUAUAAAUGUAAUGCUCAUGUUUCUUGGGACAAGACUGGUGGCAUUCAGAUUGCCUCUGUUCCACAGCCUGGAUACUAUCACCAACAUGUUGUUACAUCUAGCUAUUCAUAUGUUUGGUGGGGAUGGGAUGGGAGAGAGAGAUUAUCUUUGUUUAGAGCCUCUUGCUCGUUGUUGACUGCUUCUAUUUUAUGACAAUGGUUACAAGGAUCAAGGAUAUGGAAAUCUCCAAACACCAGAACAUGUCUAGUAUGGGUAACUCCGGGUUGAUGCAGCAUGAAGUUUAUGGUUAUGAUCAGAACUUGUGUACGAGUGAUAUUACCGACAGAAACGUUCCAGAUCCUAGUCUCUCAAACACAGUCUGAGAUUUCUCUGAAAUCAAUCAAACUGUCCAAUUAUGAAGCUGUCUAUGCAUUGCAUUGGUGUCUAUUUGGUAGUACGAGGACAAUUAAUAUGUAUAUUGCAUCAACAUAUAAUUUUCUUUAUUUGUACCUUCUUUAUG